RNAcentral lists this long non-coding RNA (266 nucleotides) under Ananas comosus (pineapple). Its description in RNAcentral is "long non-coding RNA (ACOM_LNC041798)". The record is from RNAcentral. Lineage: Eukaryota; Viridiplantae; Streptophyta; Magnoliopsida; Poales; Bromeliaceae.
AAAUUAUUAACUUAUUAUUUUUUUUCUGAAAUAUAAAAAUGAGGCUAGAUUGGGAAUAUUUUUCAAAAUGAGACUAGAAAGGGAUUUUUUUUUGUAAAGAGACUAGACAAGUAAAUAGUUCUGAGAAUCGCGAGUUGUUAUCUAUAUUUAGUAAGAAACUAAAAUAUAAUUAAAAAAAUAAAUGUGUAAAAAAUAUAUAUUUAAAAAGGGGCAAAGUAUGAAUUUAGUGAUCAUCGGAAAAUUUUAUUUUUGGAUAAAUAAAUAUU